Molecule: long non-coding RNA, 1448 nt
Filed under: Carassius auratus (goldfish)
Lineage: Eukaryota; Metazoa; Chordata; Actinopteri; Cypriniformes; Cyprinidae
Description: lncRNA (ENSCARG00000007863.1)
Source: RNAcentral
GGCACAGCUUUGAGACGUGAUUUUAAUUAUGAAGGUGUCGUGUCUUGCUGGGAAUUUGGUUCAACAGUGAGUCUUUGCUGAAAGCCUAAAGGCUUACUGAAGCCUGAAAGUUGGAAUCUGCAGCCCUUAAUGAACACAACCUCUGUCUAUGGUGAUGUUUGGUGAAAUAUCUUGCCAGGGUGACUUGGCACUUGGACAGAGGGUGGGAUUGUGUUUCCUAUCCCUUAUCCUUUUGCCUGAAUGAUUGGGAAGAGAGGAGUUAUAAGCGCCCAGCAGACCGGGCUGAGCAGAGCAUAUACGUGUGAUGGCAGAGAGCGGAGCCGCAGUUUACUUCUGUUUAUCCUGUUUUAUUUUGAGUUAAUAAAGAGCCUUUUUCGCCACUCCUGCCUUCCUUGUCCAUUGUCUAUCGAACUGUUUUACAAUGGGAAUGGACAGGAAAUACAUAUAUUGUAACUAAAACAUUAAAACAUAAAAAAUGCCAAUGCCUUGGCUUAUGUGAUCACUGAAUUGGAAUUUCCGAAUCGUUUAAAUUUUGUACUUGAAUUUAAUACAAUUUACCUAUUUACAAAAGGGUCAAUGACAUCAGCAUUUUUCAUCAAGUAAUUUUUCUUCUAUAAUAUUAAUAUUUCUGAGUAAAACACAAUAUCAUUGUCCCUUGCUAAGUCCUUGCUCAGUGAAACAAAAGUUAUCUUUGAGGUCAAAGUCUCUAAAUGGGAGGGUGCCAACUAUACACCAACAACCGCUAAACUUGCAAGGCAAAGACAAUUAUGAUUGCCAUCUUCACGAAUAGGUGAUGUAUAGAGUUUCAGGUGUUGGUUUCCUCCAUAGAAUUAUACCUGUUUUGUGAGGCAACUUUGCUAUAUUGUGACAAAAGGUACUGUGUCUAUUUCUCAUCUUAUUUUGCUAUUUUCAGGAAUGGUCAAAGCAACUAUGAUAUUUUAUCUCUUAGUUGAAUUUGCUGUUUUCUAACAAGUGCAGGAUUUCUUUAACAUGAUAAAUCAUCAGGAGCUUAAAUGUAAUGUUUACGUCUAAAUGUAUAAAAUAUAUAAAGACCAAGAUUAAAUCAGAGAGCGGGUUAAAGGAAUAUUGUCAUUUCAAUUCGUCUUUCGCAGAAUCUGAACUGAGGAAGCAGAAGAUAUGCAGAAUUAAAAAUUAAUAAACAUGAUGUCUAAUUAAAAUGAACUGAAAUUCAAAUAACGGUAAUCUUAACUAGAAAAGGAAAAACUAUCAAGGCAACCUUACAAUAUUUUUAAAAGUUCUUAAAGUUUAAAAAGCAUAAAUGAUUGCCUUACGGACAGAAUUCAUAGAUGUAACAGUUUAUACAUUUCUGACUUUAAUCUUUGCUUUACUCUACAGGUGAAAAAAGGGCAGAUGGGUAACAGCACAUUUAAAAUAUUUAUUGCUCUUACAUGUAUCUCUAUUACUUCAACACUGAUUAUGGUAUAUAA